UCCCAAUCAAUCAGAAAUCAAGCAAUUCCCAAAUGUAUGGAUCCGGUUCAAAUGCCCUAAUUUUGUUCAGCAUCUUUCUUCGGCUCUUUUGUUCAUCAAACCUUCUUCUAUGUCCUGCACCAACAGAAUCAGAUGGUUCAGCAAACAGUAGACUCGAAAUUGAAUGAGUAUGGGCUGGGCAACUCUGAAGCUAAUUUGUCCACUUGUGAGAAGCCAUUUGCUAUUGCAGUAAAGAAGACAGCAUUGAGAGACGUGCAAAAUGAAAAUAGAAUUCCUCAUUCUAUUGGGAUUUCUCCGUUGCCAAAGGAUAGAGGACAAACUAUGGAUUCUUUACAGGUUUCUGGUACCAAGAGACCCUCAUCCAAGGGUCCAGUAAGCACUCCACAUCACCAAUCUCCAACUAGUAAUGCUGCAAAUGCUCAGCUUGUCUAUGUUCGUAGGAAAGCUGAAGCAGAAACAGGCAAGAGUAACAUUUGUGAAGGAAGAAGUCUUAAUGCUGAUUGCCUGAAUUCAAGGCAACUUGACAAUGAAGAGGAGACUACACAAGCAAACCCAUAUAUAAAGGAGCCAAGAGUUUCUUGCUUUCCAGCAUUUGCACCUAUGCCUGUGGGUUCCUUGACAAGUUCGUCUGGAAAACCUUCAAUUCCUCUUCCUGUUGUCAACCCUAAUAUGAGGUUUGUGGCAGCAGAACCCAAUUAUCAUCAUGUUGCUUCUGCUGUCCCUUUGUCAAUUAAUCUGAAGGGAAUGAAAAACCUGCACUGGGAGGAGCGAUAUCAUCAGUUGCAAAUUUUACUAAAGAAACUAGAUGAAUCAGAUCAAGAGGAUUAUGUACAGAUGCUUCGUUCACUUUCCUCGGUUGAGCUUAGCAGACAUGCAGUUGAGUUGGAGAAGAGAUCCAUUCAACUUUCACUGGAAGAAGUCGGGGCAGAUUGGGGUAGUUGGGGCAGGAUGGCCUAAACUCAUACCCUCCCUUUACCCUUGGAGGGCAGGUAUGCCCUGUCAGGUAUGGAUUGAAAUUGCCACCUCUAUGCAAGAUCAAGUGUUAGAAGAGUUCUAAAUUGGUAGCAGCUUUCAUACCUUGUGGUUUAAAUUCGCUCUGUGAAAUCUGUGAUUUAGUUAUGGUGUUUGUCAUCAUCGAGGAAGAUCAAAGCAACAAGCUUUAAAAAUGUUGAAGCUCCAAUACCAAACUGAUUAGGAACAUUUGCAAGUCCGAACUUCUAGCAGUGUUUAUGGGUCGACUUAACUGGGGAGCACUAUUACAUGGAAAGCAAAUUAUAGAGUUUGUUUGAAUUACAGCAAAAGAAGUGCAACGUGUGGGGAUUCUGAAUGUUUUGGGAAAGUCCUCGAAGAAUAAUAUUAAAGUGUCCACAACUUGUCAAGGCCAGACAGAGAAACAAUAGGAUUGCUCAUCAAUGGUAUUGCUUUUUUAUUCUUAUGGCUGAAAAGGAAAAACAUAUACCUCCAGGCACUUGUCUCUCUUCCUUUAACCCUAACUGCGUCUUUGGCGUAAAAGAUGUUUACAUUAUUAAAUUCUAGCUGUAUUAUAAUGUAGUGCUAUAAAUAUGUAGUUCUUGUCUUCCUUUUAGUCUAAUUUAUCUUAUCUAGCUGGUUUGAGGUUUGCUUUGUA
Molecule: RNA transcript, 1627 nt
Organism: Jatropha curcas
Lineage: Eukaryota; Viridiplantae; Streptophyta; Magnoliopsida; Malpighiales; Euphorbiaceae
Gene name: integral membrane hemolysin-III-like protein
Source: RefSeq, a predicted model, not a curated record